GACGAACGCUGGCGGCGUGCUUAAUACAUGCAAGUCAACUGAACUUGAGAUAGCAAUAUUUUAAGGGAGGUGGCGCACGGGUGAGUAACACGUAGGUAAUCUGCCUUUAGGUCUGACACAACCCCGAGAAAUCGGGGCUAAUAUCAGAUGAUGCAGCGGCUCGACAUCGAGACAGUUGUUAAACCUUCGGGGCCUAGAGAUGAGCCUGCGUCUGAUUAGGUAGUUGGCGGAGUAAAAGCCCACCAAGCCUGCGAUCAGUAGCUGGUCUGAGAGGAUGAUCAGCCACACUGGAACUGAGACACGGUCCAGACUCCUACGGGAGGCAGCAGUAAGGAAUAUUGGUCAAUGGACGCAAGUCUGAACCAGCCACGUCGCGUGAAGGAAGACGGCCCUACGGGUUGUAAACUUCUUUUAUACGGGAAUAAAGUGCCCCACGCGUGGGGUUUUGCAUGUACCGUAUGAAUAA
Molecule: ribosomal RNA, 466 nt
Filed under: uncultured bacterium
Lineage: Bacteria
Description: bacterial SSU rRNA
Rfam family: Bacterial small subunit ribosomal RNA
Source: RNAcentral